CCAGCCUGNCNAGAGANCAUGUUCACCGGNCGCGGCAUCCGNANCGUGCGAAGGUAGCGUAAUCACUUGUUCUUUAAAUGUGGACUAGUAUGAAUGGCACCACGAAGGUUAUACUGUCUCCUUUUCCUAAUCAGNGAAACUAAUCUCCUCGUGAAGAAGCGAGGAUAAAGCUAUAAGACGAGAAGACCCUAUGGAGCUUUAAACAAUAUAGCAUUUGCCAUACAACAUUAAAAUUUCUGAAUAUUUAAACUUAUGCGGGCAACUUGACUGUAAGUUUUUGGUUGGGGUGACCGCGGAGCAUAACACAACCUCCAUAUUGAAUGAAUUUCUUCUAAGCUAAGACUUUCCGGUCUAAUCAUCAAGAUAUUGANAUCCAUUGANCCAAUACAAUNGNNCAUCGAACCAAGUUACCCUAGGGAUAACAGCGCAAUCCACUUCAAGAGCUCCUAUCGNCAAGUGGGUUNGCGACCUCGAUGCUCCAUCUGGGUAUCCNANUGNUGCAUCCGCUGAUAUAGGUUCCCNCCNCNCU
This 529-nucleotide ribosomal RNA is filed under the name Incilius alvarius (Colorado River toad). RNAcentral's name for it is "partial 16S ribosomal RNA". It matches the Rfam family "Bacterial large subunit ribosomal RNA", at positions 1901 to 2583 of the family's 2925-position model. The record is from RNAcentral. Lineage: Eukaryota; Metazoa; Chordata; Amphibia; Anura; Bufonidae.